Molecule: long non-coding RNA, 197 nt
Organism: Phyllopteryx taeniolatus (common seadragon)
Lineage: Eukaryota; Metazoa; Chordata; Actinopteri; Syngnathiformes; Syngnathidae
Exons: 3
Source: RefSeq, a predicted model, not a curated record
CCUUCAUCAUUUGUCUCCAUAAUCUCCCGAGCUUGUGUUUUGCACUAAUUAGCUGACAUCUUCACUAAUGAAGUUCGACAACAAAAGAUGACCAAAGAUGGCAGAUGGUGCACAGACGAAUGAAAAGGGGUGUGCACGUACCUUCAGAACUCUCAUCACCACAAGUUGGAUGGUCCCUCUUAAAUUUCCCUCAUGUG